This 459-nucleotide ribosomal RNA is filed under the name uncultured Lactococcus sp. Its description in RNAcentral is "partial 16S ribosomal RNA". It matches the Rfam family "Bacterial small subunit ribosomal RNA", at positions 341 to 792 of the family's 1533-position model. RNAcentral also lists the same sequence under 1 other name. Lineage: Bacteria; Bacillati; Bacillota; Bacilli; Lactobacillales; Streptococcaceae. The record is from RNAcentral.
ACGGGAGGCAGCAGUAGGGAAUCUUCGGCAAUGGACGAAAGUCUGACCGAGCAACGCCGCGUGAGUGAAGAAGGUUUUCGGAUCGUAAAACUCUGUUGGUAGAGAAGAACGUUGGUGAGAGUGGAAAGCUCAUCAAGUGACGGUAACUACCCAGAAAGGGACGGCUAACUACGUGCCAGCAGCCGCGGUAAUACGUAGGUCCCGAGCGUUGUCCGGAUUUAUUGGGCGUAAAGCGAGCGCAGGUGGUUUAUUAAGUCUGGUGUAAAAGGCAGUGGCUCAACCAUUGUAUGCAUUGGAAACUGGUAGACUUGAGUGCAGGAGAGGAGAGUGGAAUUCCAUGUGUAGCGGUGAAAUGCGUAGAUAUAUGGAGGAACACCGGUGGCGAAAGCGGCUCUCUGGCCUGUAACUGACACUGAGGCUCGAAAGCGUGGGGAGCAAACAGGAUUAGAUACCCUGGUA